CGGCCUCCACAGGGCUCUCGGAGGCAGACGUGGAUCAAGCUACAAGUGCCGGCCGGCACAGAAAGGAAGCUAGUUCUUCAGUGGUGACAUCAAUGUCCCCUCCAAAAUCAAAUGCUCAGUAGAGUUUGCUGCAACGUUCUUUGCAAUUGCCCUUGAAGUGGUUUUGAUCCUCCGGAUCCCCAUAGAGAUGGAGGUCGGAGCCCUCUGGUCAUUCUUCCUGAACAUUUCUCCUCGUCCAGGAGUACGGACCAGAAUUCUUUUGGGGGCGUCUGCUGCUCCUCUCCCUGUGUGCACAAAAGGCUCCAGUGGCUGCCGUUACUCCAGGGUGUUGCGUCUGUGACAAGGGGCUCUGCUGUCAUGAGGGACCCCACUCCAGGCUGGGGGGGGGGUGGCAUUGUAUGAGGUCCCAAGGAGACAAGGUGUGUGCACUGAGAGGUGCCUGCCUGGUCCUGCAGGAAUGUCCUUGUUACAACUGCCUGUCAGCUCUGGGGCCUGGCUUCUUCCGACACCACCUGGGGGCAUUCAUCGGACUUCUCCAGGCCUCAAUUUCCUUCUUUGUGAAAUGAAAGCUGAGUCAUAAAUCUGUUCCCAAG
Long non-coding RNA from Erinaceus europaeus (western European hedgehog), 593 nucleotides. RefSeq lists it as uncharacterized. The record is from RefSeq and is a predicted model, not a curated record. The transcript has 2 exons. Lineage: Eukaryota; Metazoa; Chordata; Mammalia; Eulipotyphla; Erinaceidae.